Molecule: ribosomal RNA, 816 nt
Filed under: uncultured bacterium
Lineage: Bacteria
Description: bacterial SSU rRNA
Rfam family: Bacterial small subunit ribosomal RNA
Source: RNAcentral
AGAGUUUGAUCCUGGCUCAGAAUGAACGCUGGCGGCGUGCUUAACACAUGCAAGUCGCACGAGAACGCUUCAGCUUGCUGAAGCUAGUAAAGUGGCGUACGGGUGAGUAACGCGUGGGUAAUCUAUCUCUGAAUUGGGGAUAACAUUGCGAAAGCGAUGCUAAUACCGGAUAACAUCCAUUAGACCUCGGUUUUUUGGAUCAAAGGUGGCCUCUACAUGUAAGCUACUGUUUGGAGACGAGCCCGCGUACCAUUAGCUUGUUGGUAGGGUAACGGCUUACCAAGGCAACGAUGGUUAGCUGGUCUGAGAGGAUGAUCAGCCACACUGGAACUGACACACGGUCCAGACUCCUACGGGAGGCAGCAGUGAGGAAUUUUGCGCAAUGGGGGAAACCCUGACGCAGCAACGCCGCGUGAGUGAUGAAGGCUUUCGGGUCGUAAAGCUCUGUCAAGUGGGAAGAACCCGCGCCGCACAAAUAGUGCGGUGCGCUGACGGUACCACUGAAGGAAGCACCGGCUAACUCCGUGCCAGCAGCCGCGGUAAUACGGGGGGUGCAAGCGUUAUUCGGAAUCAUUGGGCGUAAAGAGCGCGUAGGCGGUCUUCUAUGUCAGGUGUGAAAGCCCGGGGCUCAACCCCGGAAGUGCACUUGAAACUGGGAGACUUGAGUAUGGGAGAGGGAAGUGGAAUUCCUGGUGUAGCGGUGAAAUGCGUAGAUAUCAGGAGGAACACCGGUGGCGAAGGCGACUUCCCGGACCAAUACUGACGCUGAGGCGCGAAGGCGUGGGGAGCAAACAGGAUUAGAUACCCUAGUAGUCC